AACGCUGGCGGCAGGCCUAACACAUGCAAGUCGAGCGGUAGAGAGGUGCUUGCAUCUCUUGAGAGCGGGCGGACGGGUGAGUAAUGCCUAGGAAUCUGCCUAGUGGUGGGGGAUAACGUUCGGAAACGGACGCUAAUACCGCAUACGUCCUACGGGAGAAAGCGGGGGAUCUUCGGACCUCGCGCCAUUAGAUGAGCCUAGGUCGGAUUAGCUAGUUGGUGAGGUAAUGGCUCACCAAGGCGACGAUCCGUAACUGGUCUGAGAGGAUGAUCAGUCACACUGGAACUGAGACACGGUCCAGACUCCUACGGGAGGCAGCAGUGGGGAAUAUUGGACAAUGGGCAAAAGCCUGAUCCAGCCAUGCCGCGUGUGUGAAGAAGGUCUUCGGAUUGUAAAGCACUUUAAGUUGGGAGGAAGGGUAGUAACCUAAUACGUUGCUACUUUGACGUUGCCGACAGAAUAAGCACCGGCUAACUUCGUG
RNAcentral lists this ribosomal RNA (481 nucleotides) under uncultured bacterium. Its description in RNAcentral is "bacterial SSU rRNA". It matches the Rfam family "Bacterial small subunit ribosomal RNA", at positions 32 to 507 of the family's 1533-position model. The record is from RNAcentral.